This 485-nucleotide small RNA is filed under the name Arabidopsis thaliana (thale cress). RNAcentral describes it as "ATSL133740". Lineage: Eukaryota; Viridiplantae; Streptophyta; Magnoliopsida; Brassicales; Brassicaceae. The record is from RNAcentral.
AACCAAUAACCAUAGUCCAUAGAAAUCUUCUUGAUUGCCCCCAAACCACAAAUCGAUUUUCAUGGAAAUGAUGGAGUUUGGUGUAGAAUCGAACACCAAGAGCCAAACCUAAGAUGAAAAGAGGAACAAGAAACUGAAAGAGCUUAAUCAACAACAACUCAGAACUCUUCAAUUCAAAGCUCUUGUUAUCUUGAUUAUGCUCUGUCUGAUUUGGGGUAGUAGUAGUAGCAAUAUCACUGGCCUUGGUAGAGAGAUCUAUGUCUCCAACAUAAAACUCACUUAACAUGGCGAUUCCUGUGUUGAGAAAGCUCCGACAAGUUUAAAACCUUUCCAUUUCCGACCAUUUUUAAUUAUAUAUUUUUCCAAAAUUGUGGUGUGUAAAUUUCCAAGGAAAGAGAAUGUUUUUGUAUUUGUUUAUCUGAUUGUUGAAAAUUGAGAUUAGCUCUAACAUCAACCGUUUCUAUCGUAUGAGUACCAGAAUCCAC